Hirundo rustica (Barn swallow) is the source of this 1606-nucleotide long non-coding RNA. RefSeq lists it as uncharacterized. The record is from RefSeq and is a predicted model, not a curated record. NCBI's taxonomy places the organism in Eukaryota, Metazoa, Chordata, Aves, Passeriformes, Hirundinidae. The transcript has 2 exons.
AAGUUGGGGCCAGCGGCCUAGAGUCCCAGGCCCUUUCAGUCCAGGCAGUGGCUGCAGCCUCCUGUAAGCAGGGGUGCAGCCUCUUUGGCCGCUGCUUUGCAAGCCCAGCUUCAUUUGCCCAGGGGGCCUCGUUGCCAGCAGUGGAAGGGCCUGCAGCGUCCGACGCUCAGAAGCCAUCGAGGAAGAAAGAAGAGACGUCGUGAGGCAAGACUGAAGAGGAGGAUCAGCGGCGUCGAGGUCAAGAGUGGAGCGGCGAGGUCAAGAGUGAAGAAGAAGAUCAGCGGCGUCGAGGUCAAGAGUGGAGCGGCGAGGUCAAGAGUGAAGAAGAGGAUCAGCGGCGUCGAGGUCAAGAGGUGGCACGUGAGGCCCUCUGGGCAAAUGACAUCCCUGGCAUUUCCAGGGCACAAAUUCCCCCCCAGUCUGGUGGGCGCCUUCAGGGUGCCCCGAGUCCUUUAGUGCUGGGCGACCUCCCUGUAAGCAGGGCUGGGUCUUUGCUUUGGUGCCUUUGGUGCCUUUUGCUGUUCUGCUGCUUUGGCUGCCUGGAGAGAGGGGCGCCCCUGUAAGGAGGGUGAGAGGCCUGGUCUCUGCAGCCAAGGGGGAAAUGGAGCACCCCCAGGCCACCCUGUAAGCAGGGCAGCGCCUUUUCCCCUUGUCAAUUGGUUUAUUCCCCUGGCCAGCGUGACCCCCUGUACCCAGGGUGUGUCAUGCACAGUCUUCUGUCCCCUGGCCACCCCUCAACAUGUUUAGGCCCUUAUAGAGGGCAACCGUGCAGCGCCCCCGGGGCAGGGCUGAAGCUCUCGUCUCCUGCUCAGCAGCAGGCAGGGCACCCACACAGAGCUCGCUCCCACUCCUGGCACCUUGUCCCUGUGUGUCUUCCUUUGUCUAGUCGGUAUGAGUGAGGCAGUGUGUGUGUCCCCCGUAGGCAUAGAGCAGGUUAGCUUAGGCUUCCCAGCAGGGGGAGAGGAGCUCUGUGACUCAGCCAGGGGUGCCCUGUCCAGCUGCAGGAAGAGACAGGGCCCGGCCUGGCCCCUUGCUCCUGAGGACAGAGCCAAGCCCCUUAAUGGCAGCGUGGGCACCGGGACCCGCCUGUAGCCAGGGCCUGGGUGCGAGCCUGUGCUGCCGGGCUGCCUGUCCUUGCAGCUGACCUGCCAGCGUGCCUGGCCUGCCCUCAGAGCAGGCAGCAGCUGCAGCCUCCUGUAAGCAGGGGUGCAGCUUCUUUGGCCGCUGCUUUGCAAGCCCAGCUUCAUUUGCCCAGGGGGCCUCGUUGCCACCAGUGGAAGGGCCUGCAGCGUCCGACGCUCAGGUGAGACAGCCUGUGCUUGGAGAGUUCUCUGGCAUGGGGAUAGUUGGCACAGAGGAGUUACAAGUGGAAUUCUGCACCGUGUCUUUUUUCUCUACAUUUCCCUUCCCUUUAGCGUUUUUGGCUAUCUUGAGAAAGGUUUUGUUGGUUUUGUCUCUCAGUUUGUUUUUUGGUUUUUAGAGCAGUUUUAUUGGGUUGAAAUCCUCUUUAUUUAGCAUUCACGAAAUCCUUUUCUCUCCAGGAGCAGCAGCUCUGUUUUUUCUGCUCCUCCAUCUUUUUUUCCAUCAAUAAAGUUCUUUUUCAGUG